GUCAGACUGAGAGGCUGCUGCAGGCCAUUGCAGUUGAUGCCACGUGGCCUAACAAGGUGUGCUUCCACCCAGACAUUGGCAUGAAUAAAGAUUUGAAUUGCUUUGACACCUCAAUCUUGGUUCCUGGGUCAUCUCACUCCUGCGACGCUAGCCCGACAGGUCACUGAAAAGGGAAUUAAAUAUGCAGUACAUGAAAGUUGCCUUGAAUAAAACUAUGAAUUAAAGCAACAAAUUAUGGAAUAUAGUACAUCUGACUAUAAUAAUCACCAUUUGGAAAUUCUACAAGUGUGCAGCAGGAAUUUAUCCAAAGGAAACAACUAUCAAAAGAGAUCUGUGUAUCCCCAUGUUCAUAGCAGCACACUAUGUAAUCACCAAAUCUUGGAAACAACACAGAUGAGUGGCUAAAAACAAAGCAAAGCAAAAACAAAACAAAACAAAAAAACCUGUACUAUAUAUACAAGAUGAAAUACUGUUCAGAAGUUGAAAAUGAUAAAGUCAUCUCCUUUGUGUCAUCUUGGAUGAAAAUGGAAAAAUGUGAAGUGAGACAAGCCAAAAAGAGAAGGACAAAUACCACAUGAUCUCACUUAUAAGUGGGAUCCAGCAAUUAGGGAUAAGGAGGAAGAAGACAAAGUGAAAGAUGAACUAGGCAUGGUGUUUUGCAUCAAAGCAAGGGACUCUGGGAAACUGAAGGUAGGGAGGAGUGAAAGAGAAUUGUAGGGGCUGGGUGCACAUACUGAAAUUAUAUGCUUGUGACGAUGACUGCCCUUAGCUCUCUCAAUAAGAGAUGGAUGGGCUUUAUAGUUCAUGGUUAUUUAUAUAAUUUUCCCAUAUUUGAAACUACUCUGUCCUGAUUCAGAUUUCUUUUUUUUUACAUUUAUUUAUUUAUUUAUUUAUUUUCCCUUUUGUUGCCCUUGUUGUUUAUCAUUGUUGUUUUUUUUUUUUUUUUCCUCCAGGGUUAUUGCUGGGCUCGGUGCCUGCACCAUGAAUCCACCGCUCCUGGAGGCCAUUUUUUCCCCUUUUUGUUGCCCUAGUUGUUGCAGCCUCGUUGCAGUUAUUAUUGCCAUUGUUGACGUUGCUUUGUUGUUAGAUAGGACAGAGAGAAAUGGAGAGAGGAGGGGAAGGCAGAGAGAGAGAGGGGGAGAGAAAGAUAGACACCUGCAGACCUGCUUCACCGCCUGUGAAGCGACUCCCCUGCAGGUGGGGAGCCGGGGGGCUCGAACCGGGAUCCUUAUG
Long non-coding RNA from Erinaceus europaeus (western European hedgehog), 1233 nucleotides. RefSeq lists it as uncharacterized. Lineage: Eukaryota; Metazoa; Chordata; Mammalia; Eulipotyphla; Erinaceidae. The transcript has 3 exons. The record is from RefSeq and is a predicted model, not a curated record.